UUUCCGGUUGUCUAGUGGCUAAGACUCUACACUCUCAAUGCAGGGGGCCUGGGUUCAAUACCUAGUCAGGAAA
Molecule: transfer RNA, 73 nt
Filed under: Ovis aries (sheep)
Lineage: Eukaryota; Metazoa; Chordata; Mammalia; Artiodactyla; Bovidae
Rfam family: tRNA
About the family: Transfer RNA (tRNA) molecules are approximately 80 nucleotides in length. Their secondary structure includes four short double-helical elements and three loops (D, anti-codon, and T loops). Further hydrogen bonds mediate the characteristic L-shaped molecular structure. tRNAs have two regions of fundamental functional importance: the anti-codon, which is responsible for specific mRNA codon recognition, and the 3' end, to which the tRNAs corresponding amino acid is attached (by aminoacyl-tRNA synthetases). tRNAs cope with the degeneracy of the genetic code in two manners: having more than one tRNA (with a specific anti-codon) for a particular amino acid; and 'wobble' base-pairing, i.e. permitting non-standard base-pairing at the 3rd anti-codon position.
Source: Rfam by way of RNAcentral